CCCUUAGAUGUUCUGGGCCGCACGCGCGCUACACUGAUUCAUGCAACAAGUUUUGUCCUUGGCUGAUAGGCCUGGGUAAUCUUUGAACGUGAAUCGUGAUGGGGAUAGAUGAUUGCAAUUAUUCAUCUUCAACGAGGAAUUCCUAGUAAACGCAAGUCAUCAGCUUGCAUUGAUUACGUCCCUGCCCUUUGUACACACCGCCCGUCACACCUACCGAUUGAAUGGUCCGGUGAAAUCUUCGGAUCUGAGAGAUGUCUGAUUAAUUUCGGACGCCUUUUGGAAAAGUUGUUUAAACCUUACCAUUUAGAGGAAGGUGAAGUCGUAACA
Molecule: ribosomal RNA, 327 nt
Filed under: uncultured eukaryote
Lineage: Eukaryota
Description: partial 18S ribosomal RNA
Rfam family: Eukaryotic small subunit ribosomal RNA
Source: RNAcentral